CCCUUAGAUGAUUUGGGCUGCACGCGCGCUACACUGACCCUAACAAUGAGCAACUGUCUGGCCUGAGAUGGCUGGGUAGCCUUUUCAACCCAUGUCAUGAUUGGGCUAGAUUUUUGUAAGUCUUGAUCUCUAACGAGGAAUCCCUAGUAUGCGUGAAUCAUCAAUCCAUGCAGAUUAUGUCCCUGCCCUUUGUACACACCGCCCGCCGCUCCUACUGAUUGGGUGAUCCGGUGAGCUGUUCGGCCAUAGCAAUGUUUCUUGAGCGGGGCAAUGAAUGUUUCGCAAACCUUGCCACUUAGAGGAAGGAGAAGUCGUAACA
This 319-nucleotide ribosomal RNA is filed under the name uncultured eukaryote. RNAcentral describes it as "partial 18S ribosomal RNA". It matches the Rfam family "Eukaryotic small subunit ribosomal RNA", at positions 1470 to 1796 of the family's 1831-position model. The record is from RNAcentral.